Molecule: ribosomal RNA, 112 nt
Filed under: Photobacterium chitinilyticum
Lineage: Bacteria; Pseudomonadati; Pseudomonadota; Gammaproteobacteria; Vibrionales; Vibrionaceae
Source: RNAcentral
GUUUACGGCCAUACCACCCUGAACACGCCCGAUCUCGUCCGAUCUCGGAAGCUAAGCAGGGUCGGGCCUGGUUAGUACUUGGAUGGGAGACCGCCUGGGAAUACCAGGUGCU